RNAcentral lists this unclassified non-coding RNA (667 nucleotides) under Hevea brasiliensis (rubber tree). The record is from RNAcentral. Lineage: Eukaryota; Viridiplantae; Streptophyta; Magnoliopsida; Malpighiales; Euphorbiaceae.
ACCGGAUUCAACCAUGGCGUUGAACAAUCUACCCAAAGAAAUAGAAACAGCUGUUGGUACUAGUCGGGGCCCCGGAGAACCCGAGUCCGUGUCCGAUGAUGAAAAGGAAGAAAUAGUAGAAGUGGAAGAGAUGGAGAAGCUGGAGUCAGAAGCGAAAGAAAUGGCCAAGAGGAUUCUCGAUUACAGAGCCACUCUACCGGAUCAGCUCAAGGCUACCUUAUCUUCAAUUCUUUCUUCGCAGCGACCUGUGCUUCCCGAAAUGGAUUCUGGGUCGAAUUUUGGACCUUCCGGCAAGUGUAAUCCAGGUUUAGGAGAACGGGUUAAAGCCAGUAAAUCAGCAUUGCUAGCAGAAGGGGACCAUAAGAUUGCUGAGAAAGUUGGUAUUUUGAAAGAUAAAAUUUCCAGCAAUAUGUCGGCCAUGCCUAUUGUACUGAAGAGGAUGAAAGAAUUUAUGUCUAAGAUUGAGAACCUAGAUUCUUAUGAUGGAACCAUACAUCCGGCUUUUAAAAAGAAAAAGACUAGCUGACCAAGUUUGGUUCAUUUGUGCUUGACUUUUUUAUAUUCAGUGUUAGUUUGAAGAGGAAUGACAAAGGUGUUCCUAUGUUGACAGAUAUACAUUGUACAAUGGAUCCACGCAUCCAGCUGUGACAGGAACCAAUUUACCGAC